RNAcentral lists this ribosomal RNA (497 nucleotides) under uncultured bacterium. RNAcentral's name for it is "partial 16S ribosomal RNA". It matches the Rfam family "Bacterial small subunit ribosomal RNA", at positions 28 to 507 of the family's 1533-position model. The record is from RNAcentral.
GAUGAACGCUGGCGGCGUGCCUAAUACAUGCAAGUCGAGCGAACAGACGAGGAGCUUGCUCCUCUGACGUUAGCGGCGGACGGGUGAGUAACACGUGGAUAACCUACCUAUAAGACUGGGAUAACUUCGGGAAACCGGAGCUAAUACCGGAUAAUAUAUUGAACCGCAUGGUUCAAUAGUGAAAGACGGUUUUGCUGUCACUUAUAGAUGGAUCCGCGCCGCAUUAGCUAGUUGGUAAGUUAACGGCUUACCAAGGCGACGAUGCGUAGCCGACCUGAGAGGGUGGUCGGCCACACUGGAACUGAGACACGGUCCAGACUCCUACGGGAGGCAGCAGUAGGGAAUCUUACGCAAUGGGCGAAAGCCUGACGGAGCAACGCCGCGUGAGUGAUGAAGGUCUUCGGAUCGUAAAACUCUGUUAUUAGGGAAGAACAAAUGUGUAAGUAACUAUGCACGUCUUGACGGUACCUAAUCAGAAAGCCACGGCUAACUACGUG